AAGAUUUGAAAAACGGAAAAAAAGUUCUUACAUUCUCUCUGGAAGUCUUUCUCCGAAGAGGAUAGCGUGAUUCAAUUUUGACGGCGGGAGAACUCAAAGAUCCUGAAUCCAUUGUUAGAUGAAAAAGAAACAAACAAUAUACAAAAUAACAAAUGAAAAUGAAACAAGAAAGAAAUUGAAAUAAAGAAUAUAAGAAAACGAAACCCUGCAAAAGAAAUGAAUUAGACAAAAUAAAAAUCAAACUGAAUCGGUUAUUGCGAGUUGCAACUAGAUAGCUUGAGAGAGAGAGAUAUAGAAAGAGAGAGAAGAGAGAGAGAUUAGAAUGAUGUUAGAAAUAUGCGCGAGAGAAAUAUGCGCGAGAG
RNAcentral lists this long non-coding RNA (362 nucleotides) under Trifolium pratense (red clover). Its description in RNAcentral is "long non-coding RNA (TPRA_LNC009708)". The record is from RNAcentral. Lineage: Eukaryota; Viridiplantae; Streptophyta; Magnoliopsida; Fabales; Fabaceae.